RNAcentral lists this ribosomal RNA (273 nucleotides) under uncultured bacterium. Its description in RNAcentral is "partial 16S ribosomal RNA". It matches the Rfam family "Bacterial small subunit ribosomal RNA", at positions 524 to 796 of the family's 1533-position model. The record is from RNAcentral.
UACGUAGGGGGCAAGCGUUGUCCGGACUUACUGGGCGUAAAGCGCGUGCAGGCGGAUUGGUAUGUGCCGUGUGAAAGCUCUCGGCUUGCCCGGGAGAGGUCGCGGUAGACAGCUAAUCUGGAGGCUCGGAGAGGUUCGUGGAAUUCCCGGUGUAGUGGUGAAAUGCGUAGAUAUCGGGAGGAACACCAGUGGCGCAAGCGGCGAACUGGCCGAGACCUGACGCUGAGACGCGACGGCGUGGGGAGCAAACCGGAUUAGAAACCCCCGUAGUCC